This 252-nucleotide ribosomal RNA is filed under the name uncultured bacterium. Its description in RNAcentral is "partial 16S ribosomal RNA". It matches the Rfam family "Bacterial small subunit ribosomal RNA", at positions 524 to 776 of the family's 1533-position model. The record is from RNAcentral.
UACGUAGGGUGCGAGCGUUAAUCGGAAUUACUGGGCGUAAAGCGUGCGCAGGCGGUCGUGUAAGACAGGUGUGAAAUCCCCGGGCUUAACCUGGGAACUGCAUUUGUGACUGCACGGCUGGAGUGCGGCAGAGGGGAUGGAAUUCCGCGUGUAGCAGUGAAAUGCGUAGAUAUGCGGAGGAACACCGAUGGCGAAGGCAAUCCCCUGGGCCUGCACUGACGCUCAUGCACGAAAGCGUGGGGAGCAAACAGG